CGAAGCGGAUAGAGCAGUCGAAAGAUGGUAGCAAUGAGUUGAUCGGGUGUUGGCUUCGGCUCAGCACAUCGGUUGAUGCACUUGUUAUUUGUUGCGCUGGCACGGUUGAUGAUGCCGUUGGAAGUGGUUGUAGAGGUGCUGUUCUUCGGAAGGGUAAACCUGCAAUCAUGAAAGACGUGUUGUUGUUAAUCGAUGUUGUUACAACAACGCAACAGUGAGUGUGCUGUAAGUGUGAGUGUUGACUAUGGGUCUUCGCAUGCGAAGGCCUUAGCCAGUGCUUAUGCUUGUAGUAUUAUGAUCUGAGGCGUUUGUCAGUGUACAUUUGUACUGUCACCUAUCCGUCCCGUCUUGAAACACGGACCAAGGAGUUUAUCGUAUGUGCGAGUUAUUGGGUGAUUAAAACCUAA
RNAcentral lists this ribosomal RNA (407 nucleotides) under Panagrellus redivivoides. RNAcentral's name for it is "LSU rRNA". Lineage: Eukaryota; Metazoa; Nematoda; Chromadorea; Rhabditida; Panagrolaimidae. The record is from RNAcentral.